This 763-nucleotide ribosomal RNA is filed under the name Aerococcus viridans. RNAcentral's name for it is "bacterial SSU rRNA". It matches the Rfam family "Bacterial small subunit ribosomal RNA", at positions 28 to 774 of the family's 1533-position model. The record is from RNAcentral. Lineage: Bacteria; Bacillati; Bacillota; Bacilli; Lactobacillales; Aerococcaceae.
GACGAACGCUGGCGGCAUGCCUAAUACAUGCAAGUCGUGCGAAUUGACGAAGUACUUGUACUUCUGACGUUAGCGGCGAACGGGUGAGUAACACGUAAGGAAUCUACCUAUAAGUGGGGGAUAACAUUCGGAAACGGAUGCUAAUACCGCAUAACACAUAUUUCCGCAUGGAAAUACGUUGAAAGACGGCUCUGCUGUCACUUAUAGAUGACCUUGCGGUGCAUUAGUUAGUUGGUGUGGUAAUGGCCUACCAAGACGAUGAUGCAUAGCCGACCUGAGAGGGUGAUCGGCCACAUUGGGACUGAGACACGGCCCAAACUCCUACGGGAGGCAGCAGUAGGGAAUCUUCCGCAAUGGGCGAAAGCCUGACGGAGCAAUGCCGCGUGAGUGAAGAAGGCCUUCGGGUCGUAAAACUCUGUUAUAAGAGAAGAACAAAUUGUAGAGUAACUGCUACAGUCUUGACGGUAUCUUAUCAGAAAGCCACGGCUAACUACGUGCCAGCAGCCGCGGUAAUACGUAGGUGGCAAGCGUUGUCCGGAUUUAUUGGGCGUAAAGGGAGCGCAGGUGGUUUCUUAAGUCUGAUGUGAAAGCCCACGGCUUAACCGUGGAGGGUCAUUGGAAACUGGGAAACUUGAGUACAGAAGAGGAAUGUGGAACUCCAUGUGUAGCGGUGGAAUGCGUAGAUAUAUGGAAGAACACCAGUGGCGAAAGCGACAUUCUGGUCUGUUACUGACACUGAGCUCGAAAGCGUGGGGAGCAAACA